Molecule: non-coding RNA, 21 nt
Organism: Caenorhabditis elegans
Lineage: Eukaryota; Metazoa; Nematoda; Chromadorea; Rhabditida; Rhabditidae
Source: Ensembl
UCAUGUAAGCAGUGUGAAAAA